RNAcentral lists this ribosomal RNA (454 nucleotides) under uncultured bacterium. RNAcentral's name for it is "bacterial SSU rRNA". It matches the Rfam family "Bacterial small subunit ribosomal RNA", at positions 36 to 507 of the family's 1533-position model. The record is from RNAcentral.
CUGGCGGCGUGCCUAACACAUGCAAGUCGAACGGGGGCAAUUUCUUCGGAGAUUGCUUAGUGGCGAACGGGUGAGUAACGCGUGAGAAACCUGCCUUUCAGUGGGGGACAACAGUUGGAAACGACUGCUAAUACCGCAUAAUGUCAUUUAGGGGCAUCCCUGGAUGACCAAAGCUUUAUGUGCUGAAAGAUGGUCUCGCGUCUGAUUAGCUAGUUGGUGAGGUAACGGCUCACCAAGGCGACGAUCAGUAGCCGGUCUGAGAGGAUGAACGGCCACAUUGGGACUGAGAUACGGCCCAGACUCCUACGGGAGGCAGCAGUGGGGAAUAUUGCACAAUGGGGGAAACCCUGAUGCAGCGACGCCGCGUGAGCGAAGAAGUAUUUCGGUAUGUAAAGCUCUAUCAGCAGGGAAGAAAAUGACGGUACCUGACUAAGAAGCCCCGGCUAACUACGUG